RNAcentral lists this ribosomal RNA (520 nucleotides) under uncultured Glomeromycotina. Its description in RNAcentral is "SSU rRNA". It matches the Rfam family "Eukaryotic small subunit ribosomal RNA", at positions 569 to 1089 of the family's 1831-position model. Lineage: Eukaryota; Fungi; Glomeromycota. The record is from RNAcentral.
AGCAGCCGCGGUAAUUCCAGCUCCAAUAGCGUAUAUUAAAGUUGUUGCAGUUAAAAAGCUCGUAGUUGAAUUUCGGGGUCAGUAGGUUGGUCGUGCCACUGGUAUGUACUGGCUUCACUGAUUCCUCCCUCUUGUAGAACCGUAAUGCCAUUAAUUUGGUGUUGCGGGGAAACAGGACUGUUACUUUGAAAAAAUUAGAGUGUUUAAAGCAGGCUAACGCUUGAAUACAUUAGCAUGGAAUAAUGAAAUAGGACGUUUGAUCCUAUUUUGUUGGUUUCUAGGAUUGACGUAAUGAUUAAUAGGGAUAGUUGGGGGCAUUAGUAUUCAAUUGUCAGAGGUGAAAUUCUUGGAUUUAUUGAAGACUAACUACUGCGAAAGCAUUUGCCAAGGAUGUUUUCAUUAAUCAAGAACGAAAGUUAGGGGAUCGAAGACGAUCAGAUACCGUCGUAGUCUUAAACCAUAAACUAUGCCGACUAGGGAUCGGAUGAUGUUAAUUUUUUAAUGACUCAUUCGGCGCCUU